AGGACCGGAGGCCAGUCACAGGCCACAGCCAGCGGGGGCUCGGCCGGCCCAGCGCCACCGCUCGAGUGCCUGCAGGAGCCCCCCGCACUCCUUCACCCGUCUCCUGGGUGUGGUGGGGUUACUGUGGCCCAAGGAGCCACGUUCUCUUAGAAUCUGAAGGAAUUCAGGACAGUCAGCUGAAGGCCAGAAGAGUUCUCGGAGUAGCUGGGCCGGGAACAUCGCCAGAGCUGGCAGUGACUUUGCAAACAUACCUAGAAUUGCUUCAGUCGGAGAAGUGACAGGCUCGAGAUGAAGAAAUAGGCUGGAGGAACCCCCUGAGAGGCAACGGGUUGUGGGGAGCGUGAGCAGAAACAAGGCUGAGAGGAGAAACUGGGGUAUUUUCUGCUAUCAAAUCUCACAACCGAGGCCAUGAGAACCCGGGCGCCUGGAGGAGCAGGGCCCCAGUGCUUAAGGAGUAGGCUCUCGAACGCUGGGCAAACCUGCCACCAGGAGAAGCUGUGGCCGCAGCUGAGAAUUCAGACCAAAGAGGGGAAGUCACAUAAAAACCAACAAGAAGGAGAGGUUUGCAGUGGAUUUCAGUGGAGAUCUGUCCUCUGCAGGGGUCAGGGAACUAGCCAGCACUUCCCACAUGCAGCUCCAGGCCCAGCACACGUGGCUCUGCUGGAGAACCGAGUCAUAGGUCAUGUGAACGCUUUUAGGUCAACAGUCCGCCAUCUUGGUCCUGAGCUGGGCUGUGCCAAAGCAAACUCUUUCAAUGGGGCAUCAUGAAUAUUGAAAUCUCCAUUAUCUGAAGGUCCUCCACUAUCCCAGGGUUCACAGUGGACACUUGAGCCCUGUGGAUACCUGCUUGCAUCCUAGGAACCACCUCGGGAGAAGUUCAAAGAUACAUUGAAACCUAUUGAGAGGGUAGCUGUGGAUGAAAAAUGUUUUAAAAUGACAAUAAUAGAAUUUUAGCAUUUUAUAGAGAAAGCAUCUUUCAAACUAUGUUGUAAAUCAAUCAAUAAAAUACUAUUUUGCUUCCCCAAAUAUAUUAAUAUAUGACUUUGAAGAGAUAAAACGUAUGAUAAAAUUACAGUGAAAUUCAGGUGCAAUGCUCAGUGGCUACAAAUGUAUGAUGUGGCUGCAUUUUUCCGGACACUGAAGUAAGAAACACACAACUUUCAAUAGCAGAGGUUUCAGCAAUCCAGGAUGCACUUCAUUUUACGUACAAAAAAGCAAUACCUUUCCCCCGGAACCUGACCACUUCCUUCUCCCCUACACUGCAUAGACAUCAUUCCGUAUAGAACGUUUUCAGAUUUAUGUGCCCAGCUGUAGAAUCCUUGACAAAGAAUGCUUUUAUUAUGGACUUCUGAAAAUUUUCCAAGUGUC
This 1368-nucleotide long non-coding RNA is filed under the name Equus caballus (horse). RNAcentral's name for it is "lncRNA (ENSECAG00000044234.1)". Lineage: Eukaryota; Metazoa; Chordata; Mammalia; Perissodactyla; Equidae. The record is from RNAcentral.